AGAGUUUGAUCAUGGCUCAGGAUGAACGCUGGCGGCGUGCCUAACACAUGCAAGUCGAACGGAGUGUUGAGAGCUUGCUUUUAACACUUAGUGGCGGACGGGUGAGUAAUGUAUGAGCAACCUGCCUUUCAGAGGGGGACAACAGUUGGAAACGACUGCUAAUACCGCAUAAUGUAUUUUGGAGGCAUCUCUGGGAUACCAAAGGAGCAAUCCGCUGAAAGAUGGGCUCAUAUCUGAUUAGCUAGUUGGUGAGGUAACGGCUCACCAAGGCUGCGAUCAGUAGCCGGACUGAGAGGUUGAACGGCCACAUUGGGACUGAGAUACGGCCCAGACUCCUACGGGAGGCAGCAGUGGGGAAUAUUGGGCAAUGGGCGAAAGCCUGACCCAGCAACGCCGCGUGAAGGAAGAAGGUCUUCGGAUUGUAAACUUCUUUUAUGAGGGACGAAGGACGUGACGGUACCUCAUGAAUAAGCCACGGCUAACUACGUGCCAGCAGCCGCGGUAAUACGUAGGUGGCAAGCGUUAUCCGGAUUUACUGGGUGUAAAGGGCGCGUAGGCGGGGAUGCAAGUCAGAUGUGAAAUCUAUGGGCUUAACCCAUAAACUGCAUUUGAAACUGUAUCUCUUGAGUGCUGGAGAGGUAGAUGGAAUUCCUUGUGUAGCGGUGAAAUGCGUAGAUAUAAGGAAGAACACCAGUGGCGAAGGCGAUCUACUGGACAGUAACUGACGCUGAGGCGCGAAAGCGUGGGGAGCAAACAGGAUUAGAUACCCUGUAGUCCACGCUGUAAACGAUGAAUACUAGGUGUGGGGGGACUGACCCCCUCCGUGCCGCAGUUAACACAAUAAGUAUUCCACCUGGGGAGUACGGCCGCAAGGUUGAAACUCAAAGGAAUUGACGGGGGCCCGCACAAGCAGUGGAUUAUGUGGUUUAAUUCGAAGCAACGCGAAGAACCUUACCAGGGCUUGACAUCCAACUAACGAAGCAGAGAUGCAUUAGGUGCCCUUCGGGGAAAGUUGAGACAGGUGGUGCAUGGUUGUCGUCAGCUCGUGUCGUGAGAUGUUGGGUUAAGUCCCGCAACGAGCGCAACCCCUAUUGUUAGUUGCUACGCAAGAGCACUCUAGCGAGACUGCCGUUGACAAAACGGAGGAAGGUGGGGACGACGUCAAAUCAUCAUGCCCCUUAUGUCCUGGGCUACACACGUAAUACAAUGGCGUCCAACAAAGGGAAGCAAAACCGCGAGGUAGAGCAAAUCCCCAAAAGACGUCUCAGUUCGGAUUGCAGGCUGCAACUCGCCUGUAUGAAGUCGGAAUUGCUAGUAAUCGUGGAUCAGCAUGCCACGGUGAAUACGUUCCCGAGCCUUGUACACACCGCCCGUCACACCAUGAGAGCCGGGAACACCCGAAGUCCGUAGUCUAACCGCAAGGAGGACGCGGCCGAAGGUGGGUUUGGUAAUUGGGGUGAAGUCGUAACAAGGUA
RNAcentral lists this ribosomal RNA (1475 nucleotides) under metagenome. RNAcentral's name for it is "bacterial SSU rRNA". It matches the Rfam family "Bacterial small subunit ribosomal RNA". The record is from RNAcentral.